Non-coding RNA from Phalacrocorax carbo (great cormorant), 12171 nucleotides. The record is from RefSeq and is a predicted model, not a curated record. NCBI's taxonomy places the organism in Eukaryota, Metazoa, Chordata, Aves, Suliformes, Phalacrocoracidae.
UUCUCGGUGAGAGAGAGCGGCCCUGGGGGGCGGGGCGCGGCCCCGGCGGGGGCAGGAGCCCGCUCCGCCCGCCCGCCCGCCCCCGGGGCGGCUGUCCCUCCUGCCCCGGGGGCGCAGAGCCAGCGCAUCCCUCGGUUGGCCCCGGGCGCAGGCGGGGAGUAAACCCGCGGGGAGGAGGGGGUUUGGGCGGGAAGGAGCAGCCCGGGCAGCUGCCGCUCUCCAACGGCCCCAGGGAGCCUGGGGAUGCCGGUGGGGCCUCGGCCUUCCCCGCAGAACCACCCCCACCCUCGCCCCCGAUCUCGCCGGCCCGGCAGUCCCGGGAACGGCAGGGUCUUCUGAGGGAAAGCGCCGUGUGGACGUGCCGGCCCGCCACGCUCCCGGCCGGCGGCUGCGGGAAGCUCCGUUUCCGCCUGAGCGAGCGCGGCGGCGGCAGGGGCUCGGCCGGCGGCUCGCCCGGGAGCCGCCCGGCCCCGCAUGCACGGCCACACGUAGGCGGCCGGGGCGAGCCGGGCGGGCGGGGAGGGGGCCGCGGCUGCCGAGCCGCACGUAGGGUGGGUGGGCGCGGCCUCGCCGGCGGCGCGGAGCCGGGCGGGCGGCGGGGGCUCUCCUGCCCCAGAGCUCCACGUCAGGGCGAGCAGCUACCGAGGCGGCCGGGGAGAGGAGCGCUGGCGUCGGAGAGGGAGCCCCCGCGCCUCGCGUGAAAAAACAAACAAGUCUGCCUUCAGUUGAAGCUUUCAAUCAAAAUAGCAAUUCUAAAGGAAGAAAAAGAUAAAUAGGAUUAAGAAAGACACCAUUACUGCUGCUCUGACUCCAUGACUGAAAGUUAUUAGUGAAAUCGACUGCUCCAGGCUGUGGACAAAGAUUAGAGAGUUGUCUAGAAUGCACACAAAUUCUCGAAUGCUUCCAUCACAACAGCCGAGAAGAGGCAGGCCCUACAUUCAUUUGCCUGCAAGAGACUUUCCUACUGACAUCACAAGAUCAAAAAAGUAUUUUGUUUUCAAAUACAAUUCCUGAUCCUAGGACUGGCAGUAUUCUAAGCAAAAAUGUCACUGGCAGGAAAAAUAGUAACAUUGUAACAUAUUCAACAGGGGCCACAUUCUCAAUUUAAAAAAAAAACAAAACACAGUAGUGCCAUCAGUAUCUGACUUCAUCUUCAAUAAAAAUGAUGACAAAGAAUAGCCACGUUGACCCAACUUACCUCAACACGUAGUUUACGCACACUAUGCACUGCGGCUGAGAAUUCUUAGUGUUGUAUAUAACAGUUGCUUGAGUUUCAACCCAGACAUAGCCACCUUGUUUAGCAAGCAUUCUGUACUGUCCUGUUGUCACCUGCCCUUUUGUGAACACUGAAAGCAGAAAGGACACCAGCUUUAAUUACAGGCAGAAAAAACCGAAACCAUUUAAGGUAAGUAUUCACUGCAGAUUGAGAUCUGCAAUGAAAAGAAAGCCCCCAUUCUGCUGCUGCUUUCCCCCGGUGCUGUAUCUCAUCUCUUGUACUCCAAGGGCUUUAAGUACAUCUUUUCACUUACUGUCGUGGUGUGUUUUGGUCAGGUGAUCAGAAUCCAGCGCAUGAUAGUAUUCAUAGAUCGAGCGACCUAGGAGUUCCUCGGGCUCAUACCCCAUCAACUCUGUAAUUCUUUAAAAGAAUGGGAAAAAAAUUGCUAAAUAAAAGCAGACAUGGAGUGGCACAAAUACUAGAGCAUUGGGAUGCUCACACAUCUAGAAAAAUCCUGAGAGUCAAUUCCAUAGAUGUUAGCAGCAAUUUUGGUUUACUGGGAGCUUUCAUUUUGAAAUAAAUUGCUAUUUUUUAUGCUUCUUUAAAAAAGAAAUUUCAGCACGCACAGAUUUUUACUUCUCAUUGAAUAUUUAUAAAUCAUGUCCUGUGGUGGACAGGAUUAAGUAAAUCCCUGCUUUCUAGAUUUUUUUCCUUAAAGGUAGACCAGCUACUUAUGGACUAGCAUAUCCAGCUUACACAAAUAUGAGAAUUUAAUAAGAUAAAAUACAUGCUUCAACAGUUUCAAAUUUGCAACUAUUAGAAGUUCAGAAUCAGAUUUAUUCUUCCCACUGUCAACCACGGCCAGCUUUUAAAGAAAAGUGUUUUCUUCAGCCCCCAGAGGGCAGUGCUAACCAGGGGAAUGCAUUUAUUUUGCCCUAUUCUACAUGCAGAACGUGACGGAAUAAGUACCUUUUAUGUGACACCAUCAGUCCUAGAAAGGUAAAAGUUACUGCAGAAGACAGAAAAUAAUCUGCAGUAACAUCUCUCAGCAUCCAAACUGUAGCAACUAAUUAGAAGUUCGUUUUUGUUAUAAAGAAAAAGGAAAUAGGCAGUAAUGAAUACUACCCAAUUUAUGUUUUUACAUAAAAAACCCAAACAAAAGACCCUCAAAACAACAGAAAACCUCAAACCAAUGAUUUCUUUCACUUCUGUUUUUCAAAUUUGUCAAGUUUCCACAGGAUAGUAAGAGCAGUCUUACCUAUUUGACUACAUCCAUGAUUUGUACCAGAACAAAGUCUCAUUUUCAACAGCAGAUGUAUAGAAGUACAGCUAAACUUUUGGGGGUUUUUUGGACUAAUGAAAGCAGACGCUAAUCUCUUGAGAAAUGGAGCAGGGGGAACUUGUAGCAAUAAGAUGUAUCUGACAAGUAUUACACACACUCUCUCUUCAGUUGCCAAAAUGUACCAUCAUCUUUGACAAACCUAAAAUCCUUCCUGGUUUUUCACUGCCCAGAAAUUUCUUCUCAUUUCAGUUCAAUUGCUACCACCACACUAAAGACCAUUUUGAACAGGCAGUUAACUGCAGGCAAAAGAUUUAUUCCAAAGUAAUAACCCUGUACCCUCCUUAGAUUUAAAAAUCUGGCCUUUAAAUAAGACAUCCUCAUCAGUUAGUAAAAGCCAAAGCAUCCCAGUGAUGACUCUCUUGCACCAAUGAAUCGAGUUAACAAGGUACGGCUACAUAAAUGUAUACGGCCAACGUUAGCCCACAUGUACUAACCCCGCAAAUCCUUCACAUGAAUUCAUUAAUUACAGAUUAUAUAUUACCUUUCAUCACAAUAGGAAAAUUUCAUAUCAAGACUGUGACGACUGAGGAACGUUUUACUGUCCAAGGGGACCUCAAUGUUUGAUGGAUGAGGAAUAGGUUCACAGAUCAACACCAGACACGUCAUGGGAGGCUUUUUGUAGCCACAGUGUGUUUGAUUACCGCAUGUGUCGUAUACACGGAUGUGUCCAGUGCAGUGCAGUACCUAUGGGAAAGAUGCAUUUUAGAAAGAGACAGGUUCUUGUCUGUCGGACAACACAAUCGUAAUUCCAUUAGCACACCUGGAGCGAAGUCCUUCCCCUCCCCACCCUCGAUGUGAUAGCAACAGAAAGGCAGCAGUGUUUUCCGACAAUGGCUGAAGGAGAGCAGUAGUUCUCCCCCUCACGCUACGCAGGCUGCGAUGAGUACACAGGCUGCCAACUUGCCUCUUGGGUGCAGGCUGAAGGAAUGCUAGACAUUUCUGUGAACUGCUGUUCUGUGAAUGUUACCUUAAUGUCAACAAUGAUAAGCAAUUGCCUCAGCAAAAGGUAUCUUACUAUUUAAAUUUUAAAGUUAUGGUAAUAGUAGCAGCCUCCAUUUUAGAUCUUCUGCAGAAGUGAUAUUGAAUAUAUUCAAGUUUUGCAUUUUAGGGGGCUUUUUCUGGUUUUGUUUCAGGGUUGGGUUUUUUUGUUUGUUUUUAACCAUUCUGAAGUAGAAAUUGUUCACAGACAGCAGCAAAGAAGAAAGAAGUUGUUUGAUCCAGAAUAACUAAAUUUAAGUUACAAAGAGAACUGUGAGUCAUAAUACCACUCAAUGCGGUAAAAGGUUACUUUUUGUCCAGAGGAAAAAAUGCAUUCACUGCAGAAAGUUAUCAGGCUGGGCUCUUUUUGUUCCAACUGCUACAAAAGGGAUAGCCAGCACCUUCAGAGAGACCUCAACUGUCACAUUUACAGUGGCAAAUCAAAAGAAAUCAGGUAUCAGCACAAGUGGUGUCAAGUAUUUUUUCCCUCAGAGGAGGCUUUAUGCAAACAUACUGGAAAUUAUAAUUACUAAAUAAGUAAAUGACCUCUAAUUUAAAAUGGAGAGUUCAUUAAAAGAGUUUUGAAAAACUAAUUUUAGAACAUUGUUUCAGUUACCUCUGUGAUGUAUUCGGCAUUAAAAUUCAACAUAUUGAAGCACAACCAUUAAAUUAGUUAAGUACUCAGUGAAACUCAAGCUCCCUACAUGAAGUAAAAAUGUUGAAAUACAGUCUUAUGACAUCUGAAGAGGAAGCUGCCAAACUAUGUAAAUAUUCCUCUGCAUUAGUUACCUUCCACGUAGCAGACUUUAUAUUCACUGUUCUUCCCCUGCUAGUCAGCGUACACUUCAUUCUGAGAAAAAAGCUGCGCUCCGUGUUUUGCUCUUUGCCCUUUUUCACAGGACCUGGCAAAAGCAAAUAGUAAACCAACUCUUAAGCUCUUGGAUCAUCUUCCAAAGGCAUAAAAAAAAAAAGGCGUUAUAAAGCUCUAAGACUACGGGAAGACCCAAAAAGUAAAUUUAAAAGAUUGAUUAACCUAACAGCACGUUCAAUGACAACACUUUUCAGAAUGAGCUUUACUGGAGGUAGGCAAAAACUGAAGUUUCAAUGUUUUAAGAUCAGUAUCGUAUUUGUAGCCAACUCCACAGUUGGGGAGUGGUAGGGAGAGAGAGUGACUGAAAAUUUAAUGUAUUUUAAAAUCAUGACAGAGGACAAGAAAAGCAUGUGCAGAACAAGAAGUACUGUUGAGUAGGUUUCCAUUGAAAUACAUCAGUAACUCACUGCAGGAAGGUUCAGACCAAAUAAGUUUUGAGCCUGUAGCUCUACAGAACUGUAGUAUUUUAAGUUUUUCAGUUCAGAAUUAACAACUCUGCCGUUUACAUGCAUCCAAAUACUUCCACAGCGAUUUAUACUCUUAAGAGUAAACCAAGACCAUGUUUUUAAGCACAUUAUUAGCAUUCUUGGAGGUAAAAAAAGAAGUCAAGAAAUCCUAAUACAAAUUAAUAUUAGUGGCACUAAUUUUUAGCCUUAACUUAAAGCCGGCUGUUAGCAAGUAAGUUUUUGCCUUUACAGGGAGAACCUUUCAGAGUCAAUUACUACCUAGGCUAUUCUGGACAAAAAAGGCAAACUGAUCCUAUCAGGAGAGCUGCAAGCAACAAGCUGUGUGUGGAAGGAGGAAAUAAAGCACCUAGGUUAAGGAGCAGUGGAAGAGUGUUUGCCAGGGCGUGCUAAGGAGCAAGGACCAAAUCAUGGCAGAGGGUGGAAGUUCAGAACAUGUGAGCUUACUUCUGAUACAAGUUUAUGCAAUAAUUUGCUCUCAUCCUUCACAGACAAUAGCAGCUAUUAAAUUCUUCACGAUGGCUCGCACCACAACUACUAGUUCGAAAAAAAUUCACUAGAGAAAUAUUAAAGCUCCUUGCUACAUUGUCUAUUGCUUCUAGCAGAGGCAAAAGACUACCAGGGACAAGCCUACUUUAUGCUACAUCAAAACAUCCUCAAUAAGGGGCAGGGGGGACAGGGAAGGAAGGUUCAGAGAAGCAGCCAAAACUUUUUUAAUUCAGUAUGUUUUAGAAAGAGUUAAACCAAUCUAGAAAUUCAUAGUUGAAGAUCACACAACGUUAUUGUUACCAAGUCCUGAUGUUUAAGGCUCUGCUUUAAGUAGCGACCGUAAAAGAUGGAGCAACUUUCUCAAGUCUGAUUAAGUACUGACAUUAUUUUUAAAGUCACCAGCUUUGGAAUUUCAAAAAGCAACUUUGUAAAAACUAGAAAGCAUUUCAGUUUCUGGCAAUCACAUUUAUGUUCAUUUUCACCUAUGUAGUCCCAAAGGGGAGUAUUUAAUACUCAAUUCAAAACCAAAAUAAUUCCACUGAUGUAAGAGCUGCAGUAGAAUGCAACCUGGGAAUACUAAUAAAUAUAAAAAUGUACUAUUAUUACUGUAAUUUAGACUUUUGUCUGCCAACUUCAUUUGCGAAACACAUUUAGUAAUAAUGCUUUCCAGACAUCUUAUUCCAGACUGGUCAAUUUAGACACACAGGAGUUGGUUUGCAUGAAACUUGGUAAUACGACGUUUUUAAGAAUAAGCUUUUGCAACAAGACCAGUUUUUACACUGCCUUAGUAAGGCUGUGUCCCCACCCCUCCCAGAUGCAUUUACUGUAUUCCAAAGGGUGGGGGGGAGUCUAAUCUAGCCUUAAAAACAUACCUUAACACUAAGGGCAGACAAGUUUAGAAAAUGCUUACAAAAUCAAAGUCGGGGCCCUUAAUGCUAUGAUAUCUUAUCAGGUCUCUUUCACCGAAUUAAACAGAAUGACAACAUAAAAGACUUCUGAUUUACAGUGCUACACAAAAGCAGAGGUCAGGGUUGGUAAUUUAUCUAGAUUCAGAGUCCAUAUAACCCUUGUGUGAUGGAACAGGAAUUAGAGAGGUCAAGAUUUUAGGCUUCUAACAACUGAGUAAUGCAGAUUUGUUUGGAGGCAUACAGGCUGCCAAGCCUUUAUAAUCAUUAACAAACUUUUAGAAGGCAUAGAAGCAGUAAUUCAUGGGCAUUUGUUAAAUUCAAAAGCAUAAAGAAUAUGUGAACAUGGUGUUCUCCCUUGGAUAGAGUCAGAAAUCUGUGAAAAGAUACCAAUUUCAUGCACCAAUUAAAAGGUGCAGAGAAGUGUCAAUCCCAAAGCCCUUUUUGGGGCUGUCCAAGUAUUCCCCAAUUAGGUUUUCGGUGUCCUAAAUAUGGUUUCUGUAGUAUACCACCACAGAUUUCUGGAAGAAACCAUUCACUUUUAAGUUGUCCUGUAGAGGCAAGCCCAGACCAAGACAAAUACAGCGAUUUAACUUCUCCAUAUCCUUCUAUAGCAAUUGUUUAAGAUCAUUCUCAUUCAACCUACCUCUAAUUUUAUUCCUGUAGGCAUGCUAAUUUUUUCCACCCUCAAUAACUCUGUUUUAGUUGUUAAUUUUGUUUUAAAUUGAAGAGUACUAAUGAAGACUCAUCUCUCCUACAAUUAGGAUAUUGCCAAAACAUUCUGGUUAUUUCUGUUGUUAGUAUCUCCAAGGUUUAUUUUGAGAUUUAGGCAGCAAAACAUACUAGUUUGUUCUCUCAACACCUUUUUCUGGCAGAUAGCCAACUGUACUAAUGCCAGCAAGAACCAUCCAUAAGUAAAUGAAAUAAUUUUUUUUUUUUUCUUCUCACCAUUUCUGUGUGUAAGCAUUUCUCUCAGCUCUUCAUGGUCACAUGGAUGAGUGAAGUCAAAUACACUGUGCCCCGUCAACUCAAACUGCAAAAAACAAGAGGUACACGGGCGUCUAACUUUACGUAUACAAAAACAUAAUAACUUCUACAGAUUUGAAACAGUCUUAGGAAAUGUCAGUAUUUCACCUGAGUGAGUCCCAUACACUUGUUCACGUUUUCAGACAUGUAAAUCAUGUCCCCAUCUUCGGACAGAACCAUGACAAAUCCAUCAAGAGCUUUUAAGUAGAAGCAGUUCAGUUCCUUCUCCAUUUUGGCUUCUGUCUCCAGCUCACCUACAAGCAGCCACACAUUUUUGUUAAAGUAAACAUCAGCCAUUCCUCACUUACCAUCAGGAAUGACUUCUGGCACCAGUCUGCAAGGAGUCAGUCUUGCAGGACUGUUUAAAACCAGCAUAAUUCACUUAGAUAAGUGAUCAAUUAAAUUAUUCAAGCUCUAGUAAUGAUAUCACAAAUCACAUAAAAUCGGAAUGAGGUUAAACCAAUAAACCUUCCGUCUUAAGGAAGGUUUAAGUUCCUUCCAUCAAAGGAAAAAGUCUAUGUGGCAAAAACAUUACCAUUUAUCUCAAAAAGGCAUUACAAACCUUUUUCAGGGGUUUCCUAGGAGGCGUUUCAGAGUAUGCCUACCAAAGUUACUCCUCAAUACAGUAUAGGUAGGUAUGCAUGCACGAUUACAAAUAGCAUCCAAGUACAGCGUCCACAGCCUGCUAUACAGACAGUGGUUCAUAAGCUAACUCAGAUACUCCUAUAGUUGCCUGGGAAGCUGUACUGCAGAGACAGACAUAUCCUCAGCUAACUUCACCUGCAGUGGAGUACAAAAUUACAAAAAAUUCCUUGCAGUUUAUAUUAAGGAGAAACACCUACAGUUAGCUAAGCCAGCCUUGCACCAACCACCUACAGUUUAGUGAAGCACAGUUGUAGCAACCAACUCUAGGGGAAAGAAAAAGAGAAAUAACUUUUGGAGACAGGUCAAGUAACUAAGACUGAAAAUGGCAGUAUGGCUGUGGUCAGCCAACUGCAACCAUCAGAAUAGAAAGGGAAAAAAAAAUGUCCGUUGAACAGUGCCAUCACCAAAAGCCUAUUUCUACUGUAAGGUCUUCCACUUUUCCAUAGAAAGGAUGCAACUAUUAAUGUAUUUAUUUAACAGCUGAUAGGUUUGAGAAAUAGCUUCUUCCUCAAUAUACCUUCAGCCUCUUUUCCAGAUGCUGCUAUGUUAUUCACUCACCAGCAUCUAGCAGUUUUCUCAUGCGCAAGUAGCUGAUGGUCAGUCUCAUAAUGGAUGCCUUGUCCAGGUGUGCGCUCACGGUGUGGGGCAGGGGCAGCUGAUGAGCAAGCUCAUAGAACACUUCUGAUUCCUUGCUCCUUCGGCACCGGGCUGCAUCUCUUGACUUCUCCUUUCUGCGUUCCGAGCUAAUCCUAUAUAAACAAAGUUUGGGGUUAAUAUAGGAAACAGAGUUCUCUGCACAAGUUAAGAUUUGAAACUAAGCUGCCCAGUAGCCAAUUAACCAGUUAUUGAAGUUGAAUAAUAUAAAACCUCAGUUUAAAAGGGUAAAUGUAAUUCUGUAUAUUGAGUUCUACUGCAGUUGGGGUCUGCCAGAACUAAUUUGAAACCCACAGAGUCUUCUGACAAGAUCAGUUCUUCAGACAUCUACGUACUCAGAACUGUUCCUGAAGUGCUUAUCUCAUACCUUGACUGCUGCCUCUCUAGCCUCCAAAUUCUGUUUCCUUCCUCUUUCCUAACCUCUUAAGUCUAUACGAAACACUACAGCUUAAGUUAUUUCUAACUCAAUGCUUGAGUAGUAUCAUGUACACUCUCCAAGUUCUUCCCUUUUUACCAUCCUUUCAAAGCCCACCUAAUGGGUCAGAUAAGCAAGGAUAUUGAUUUAGCAUGAGGUGUCAUGCUUUUCAAGUGAUCCAAAAAGCCCCAUUCCCAGUUCUCUUUCUCCAGUAUAGCCCCUUCCAUAGUCUCCCCCGUACUGGAGAACUCCAGCUGUUAAGAAGUUGCCUCAUUUUCCUUCCAUUGCCUCUAUUAGGCUCACCUCUCCCAGGACGCAUGAAGUAAAGGACAGCUCACUAAGAACAAGGACCAAAACAAUUGAGACUCUCAGUCAGUAACACGGGUAAUUCUCCCUUCUCCCAGUACCCACACCAGCUCACAUUUGUCUCCUGCAUCUGUCAUAUGAGUUUUGAACUAAGCACUUUGAGACAGGUGCUCCAAAAUUUUUUUUUCAUUUGAACAAGAACUCAGCGCUUCUGUGGUCCUCAAGGAAAUUAUGCCACUGCAGUUGUAUGUGCUGUUAUUACAGUCUACAAAAGUAGACUGUAUUAUUGUCCAUUUUUUGUUUCAUACGUUUAUGUCUUCUGACGGCACCCUAUCUUCAUUUUGCAUACACCUGAGAUACAAAAGGCAGUUGCACUAAUCUGUAGGAGCUCCUUUUUUUUCCCCCAUCAACUUACAUGAAAGUUUUAAGAUAAACCUAUGCCUAUAAACACUGUUUUUAUAAUUCAAAGUUGCAUGCCUUUUAAUGUUAUCAUAAAGAGAUUAAGUGUCACUAGUUGAAAGAGACAGAAAAUAAGGCACUGCAUUAUAUACUACCAACAGUUUAGGAAUUACUUUUUUCAAAUUUCACUAGACUUAAGAGUCAUGUACUACCACUACCAAAUUCACAUUGCUAAGUCUGCAGAUCUGGGCAAAAAAUGCUUUUUAAUGAGCAGACAUCUUGUGAGAGGUACACAGAAUCACAGGUUGGAAGGGACCUCAGGGAUCAUCUAGUCCAACCUUUCUAGGAAGAGCAGAGUCUAAACAAGAUGGCCCAGCACCCUGUCCAGCCAAAUCUUAAGUAUCCAACAUGGCCGAGUCAACCCCUUCCCUGGGGAGAUCAUUCCAAUGGUAACUGUCCUCACUGUGAAAAAUUUCCCCCUCAUGUCCAAUCGGAAUCUCCCCAAGAGCAACUUGUGUCCAUCCCCCUUGUCCUCUCCAUGGGACUCCUUGUAAAAAGGGAGUCUCCAUCUUCUUUGUAGCUGCCCCUUAAGUACUGGUACGUGGUGAUGAGAUCCCCUCUCAGCCUCCUUUUCUCAAGGCUAAACAAACCAAAAAUGAUACAGGUGACAGGGGAAAGCUAGUCACAAGCUGGUACUGCCUGGGAAAUAAUGAACCACAUUCAAAGUAAGCUGUCAAAUACAUACCCAAAGGAAUGCCUUUUCAGUCCUUUACCUGAUGUGCUACCCACAAUAGCCAAGAAACUGCUUAGUUUGUGCAGAAACAUGCAAGCGACAAUACUAUUAAGACUGACAUUGAAAGCACGAAUGCCUUGAAACACAAAAGUUUCAUAAACUCUGAUCAAGACAAAGUAAGCCAUCAGAAUUUCUUCUGUGAUUACCUUCAUUUUUUGCAACUUCAUAAAACUGUACAACAUUCCUAUCCAUCCCUACUCCCACCAUCCUCUCCACCUACCCCUGCCACUGGCAGCAGAAGGAAGCACUAGAAGCCUGAUUUUCAGAAUCAUAAGAGCUCAGAAUAGGAUUAUGUUUUUUCCUUUGGUGGCAAAAUCAGACUACUAGAUCCCAGAAAUACUAUUACUAUGUAAUGAGAAACAUUACUAAUUCAACAUAAUAUUACUGGAGAUCUUUGGAAAACUAACUUAUGGGUAUAACAGUAGUAAAAAGUUCCAGACAUACAAUAGUUCUAUCUACUUCUGUGAAUAUAAGCUCAUGUUACUCAGAAAGGUAGCCUAAAAUAUCUGAUAAUAUUUCCCAUCUUGCAGAUUUUUUUCACAUUCAGUUUCCCUGUGACAACAGAUGUUCCUGCUGUAGUCAUGGAUACCUUGGUCUGAGAAGCUUGAGGCUCCUGACGUACAGACGGGCCUCAAGUACCUUUUCUCUUGGUGGAAAACUAAAGGUGGAGGUGAAAAACCAUGUGGAUUCUCUUUGUCCUCUUUCCUGGACCGCAGAUUUCACUGACAAAGAAACGUUCCCAACUUUGAAUUCAGUCUACAGGAAACAGAAAACAACAAAUUCUCUUUCUUAAGCCCUGCCUUUAGGAAGGAAGGAUAAGCUUUGCAUACCGAUUCUUACAUUCUGAAGAAAGCAGAUUACAUCCAGGAUAAGGAAAUUGCAAAAGUAGUACCCAAGUGGGACAGAAUGGUAAGUAAAAAAAAUAACAAAUGCUCAAGGGGAAAAAAAAAAAAAAAAAAAACACAAAACAAACCAACCCAAAACAAAAACCAGCAACAGAGAACAACUCGAGUCUCAAACCCCCUUUAUAGACCUGCCAUUAAAUUAGGGCAGCAGAGCAAAGCACAGAAUAAUCAUUUCUCUUGCAACGUUUUCUCCCAGGCUUCCGAAAAGCCAUUAGCUUUGAGUAGAAAAAACAAAGGCUACAGAAUCGGUGCUACCCUCAGGUGCCCCACUGUACGGAUUUUGUUAGACCAAAAGCUGCUUCUCCCCCCACCCUACACCCUGCACGGCCGUAACAGCUCCAAAUUAUCCCGGGGAUGAUCCCGUCCUAGAGGUGAAGCGCUCCCUGCUCCCCAUCCCAGCACCCUGCGCUCCCAGCUCCAGCUCGGCACAAAGCUCACCAUCCAUUUUAAAAGCCAGCCAGUCUCCUCUCCAGCACAACUUACACGCUUUAAUACUUAUUGUGUUUAACAUACUCAGGUGACCCUCUGAUACAAGACCUGAGAAAAUCCAUCUUUUUUUUUUAAAAAAAAAAAGGUAUCAAUAACAAUAUAAACAAGCGGCGUCUUCUGCAGAUGGCGAUUACGGCAAUUAAUCCCUCCACAAAGCGCGCCGGUGGAGCACCAACGCAGAAAUCUGGUCACCCAAAUACUCAAACUCCCUAACUUCACCAUGUAACAAAGGCUUUUAAGGCUUUUAUUUCCCCCUCCUAAUUUGAGCUAACAA